RNAcentral lists this small RNA (535 nucleotides) under Pan troglodytes (chimpanzee). RNAcentral describes it as "processed transcript". The record is from RNAcentral. Lineage: Eukaryota; Metazoa; Chordata; Mammalia; Primates; Hominidae.
AAGAAAAUAAAAAUAACCGGCCGGGUGCAGUGGCUCACGCCUGUAAUCCCAGCACUUUGGGAGGCCGAGGCGGGCGGAUCACGAGGUCAGGAGAUCAAGACCAUCCUGGCCAACACGGUGAAAUCCCAUCUCUACUAAAAAUACAAAAAAAUUAGCCAGGCAUGGUGGCGGGCGCCUGUAGUCCCAGCUACUCGGGAGGCUGAGCUGACUUUGGUGUGUCUGCCAAGAAUCUGAAGACUCUACAGAAACGAGAUUCCUUCAUCGGCACGCCUUACUGGACUCUGUGUUCCGGGUUGCUGCUGCCAUCUCGCGGUAGGCAUCGGAACUGCAGCAGGACGUGGCGGGGAGCCGCGUGGAGGCGUUUUUCUGUGGAAGAGCGUCCUAAGGAAGACAGUGGGAUGCAAAGUCACGCAGAUCAUGAUUCGGGAGUGCUGCCAACCCCGACAGUGGCUCGUGGUGGCCCUUGACCCUGAAUGUCCAAGAAGCACCUGUAAAGGCCAGAUUCUUAGCCCUAUGUUGUCCCUUGGUUGGUUCA